GGCGCGAAAACUUUGCAAUACACGAAAGUGUGACAGGGUUAUUCCGAGUGCCAUCCGUUGAGGAAGGCUUUUACCCAGUCUAAAAAUCUGGGGGAAUAAGGAGAGGGCAAGUCUGGUGUCAGCCGCCGCGGUAAUACCAGCUCUCCGAGUGGUGUGGAUGUUUAUUGGGCCUAAAGCAUCCGUAGCCGGUUAAGUUAGUCCCCUGUUAAAUCCACCGAAUUAAUCGUUGGAUUGCGGGGGAUACUGCUGGGCUAGGGGACGGGAGAGGCAGACGGUAUUCCCGGGGUAGGGGUGAAAUCCUAUAAUCCCGGGAAGACCACCAGUGGCGAAGGCGGUUUGCCAGAACGCGCCCGACGGUGAGGGAUGAAAGCUGGGGGAGCAAACCGGAUUAGAUACCCGGGUAGUCCCAGCUGUAAACGAUGCAGGCUAGGUGUUUGGACGGCCACGUGCCGUUCCAGUGCCGCAGGGAAGCCGUUAAGCC
This 481-nucleotide ribosomal RNA is filed under the name uncultured crenarchaeote. RNAcentral describes it as "bacterial SSU rRNA". It matches the Rfam family "Archaeal small subunit ribosomal RNA", at positions 338 to 821 of the family's 1478-position model. Lineage: Archaea; Thermoproteati; Thermoproteota. The record is from RNAcentral.